RNAcentral lists this small RNA (87 nucleotides) under Salmonella enterica. Its description in RNAcentral is "partial RtT sRNA". It matches the Rfam family "RtT RNA", at positions 45 to 130 of the family's 130-position model. Rfam says of the family: This family represents a bacterial cis-regulatory element known as RtT RNA. The exact function of RtT is unknown although it is thought that it may be involved in changing the cellular response in relation to amino acid starvation. Lineage: Bacteria; Pseudomonadati; Pseudomonadota; Gammaproteobacteria; Enterobacterales; Enterobacteriaceae. The record is from RNAcentral. RNAcentral also lists the same sequence under 1 other name.
GAUUCGAGCGCAGCGAGAAAGCGUUGCCGCAGGCAACGACCCGAAGGGUGAGGAGCGGAGCGACGAAUAAUCCUUCCCCCACCACCA